GAUGAACGCUGGCGGCGUGCUUAACACAUGCAAGUCGAACGAUGAAACCCAGCUUGCUGGGUGGAUUAGUGGCGAACGGGUGAGUAACACGUGAGUAACCUGCCCUUAACUCUGGGAUAAGCCUGGGAAACUGGGUCUAAUACCGGAUAGGAGCGUCCACCGCAUGGUGGGUGUUGGAAAGAUUUAUCGGUUUUGGAUGGACUCGCGGCCUAUCAGCUUGUUGGUGAGGUAAUGGCUCACCAAGGCGACGACGGGUAGCCGGCCUGAGAGGGUGACCGGCCACACUGGGACUGAGACACGGCCCAGACUCCUACGGGAGGCAGCAGUGGGGAAUAUUGCACAAUGGGCGCAAGCCUGAUGCAGCGACGCCGCGUGAGGGAUGACGGCCUUCGGGUUGUAAACCUCUUUCAGUAGGGAAGAAGCGAAAGUGACGGUACCUGCAGAAGAAGCACCGGCUAACUACGUG
Molecule: ribosomal RNA, 466 nt
Filed under: uncultured bacterium
Lineage: Bacteria
Description: partial 16S ribosomal RNA
Rfam family: Bacterial small subunit ribosomal RNA
Source: RNAcentral